AUUGAACGCUGGCGGCAUGCCUUACACAUGCAAGUCGAACGGCAGCACGGGAGCAAUCCUGGUGGCGAGUGGCGAACGGGUGAGUAAAGUAUCGGAACGUGCCCAGUCGUGGGGAUAACGUAGCGAAAGUUACGCUAAUACCGCAUACGAUCUAUGGAUGAAAGCGGGGGAUCGCAAGACCUCGCGCGAUUGGAGCGGCCGAUAUCAGAUUAGGUAGUUGGUGGGGUAAAGGCUCACCAAGCCGACGAUCUGUAGCUGGUCUGAGAGGACGACCAGCCACACUGGGACUGAGACACGGCCCAGACUCCUACGGGAGGCAGCAGUGGGGAAUUUUGGACAAUGGGCGAAAGCCUGGUACAGCCAUGCCGCGUGCAGGAUGAAGGCCGUCGGGUUGUAAACUGCUUUUGUACGGAACGAAAAGGUUUGGCCUAAUAAGCUGAGCUCAUGACGGUACCGUAAGAAUAAGCACCGGCUAACUACGUGCCAGCCGCCGCCGCGG
RNAcentral lists this ribosomal RNA (499 nucleotides) under uncultured bacterium. RNAcentral describes it as "partial 16S ribosomal RNA". It matches the Rfam family "Bacterial small subunit ribosomal RNA", at positions 30 to 523 of the family's 1533-position model. The record is from RNAcentral.